This 266-nucleotide ribosomal RNA is filed under the name Niallia circulans. Its description in RNAcentral is "Bacillus circulans partial 23S ribosomal RNA". It matches the Rfam family "Bacterial large subunit ribosomal RNA", at positions 2018 to 2283 of the family's 2925-position model. Lineage: Bacteria; Bacillati; Bacillota; Bacilli; Caryophanales; Bacillaceae. The record is from RNAcentral.
GUCUCAACGAGAGACUCGGUGAAAUUAUAGUACCUGUGAAGAUGCAGGUUACCCGCGACAGGACGGAAAGACCCCGUGGAGCUUUACUGCAGCCUGAUAUUGAAUUUUGGUACAGCUUGUACAGGAUAGGUAGGAGCCUUGGAAGCCGGAGCGCUAGCUUCGGUGGAGGCAUUGGUGGGAUACUACCCUGGCUGUAUUGACAUUCUAACCCGCACCCCUGAUCGGGGUGGGAGACAGUGUCAGGUGGGCAGUUUGACUGGGGCGGU